AAAUGUGACUUCUGAAAGACAGCUUAAGCACUGGACCAUCACCUACAGCACAGAGAACAUGUGAUAACGGCUCCUGAUACUAAUGCUGACCAUGAGUAUAGAAGGGGAGGCUAUCCAGCCGUAUUCUAUAUUUUGAAAUUCCAGAUAGAAUGUCACAGUGAGACUUUUGAUCCGAGGCUGAGGGCCAAGUUCCUCCUCCACCUGAAGCAGCCUGGGAAGGCAGACCUAGCUAGGACCCUCCCUUCAAUAAGGGAUUGAAGUUUCUGGGGGUUAAAUGAAGUGAAUUGGAAAAAGAAAGACAAGUAAAAAGUAGACAAAGAAGACCACAAUUUAAAAAAUAAAAACUGCAGUUGCAGGAUGCUGCCCAGCUUAAAAAGUGUUUUUCUUCCUAUAUUUUUUCCUCCCAAGACACAAAUAAGACCAGGCAAUUCCUUUUUGCCUACAUAUGCUCUUUCUUAUUCCCUUUUCACUUGUUAAAUAGAACUUUCCUGUGCAUGAACCUUCCCUCUUGCCCUUGCAGCAAGAGAUGUCACCUUGUACCUAAAAACCAAACUCCCCCUUUCUAUAUUAGAAAGUUCUCCUGUUGUCUGCCCCUAAAUCUCCCACAAAAACACCAGUGUUAGACUAUGAUGCACCUCACGGUCCCUCAAGGGUCCACACUCUUACAUCUUCGAGUAUAUCUUAUACCUUUAAAAUUCUGCCUAAUAAAUUCCUUUGUGCUUAUUGACCCGAAAUUUUUUUUUUCCUACAGGUAGAGUGGGUUUAGGUUCCUCAUCUCCGGAAUCUCCCAGAACCCUGCCAGGCAGGACAGCACCAAGACCUGGGCCAAGCCCACUGCAUCUCUGGCUCUAGGAAGGAUGUCGCUUUACACAGAUACAAAAAGAGGAAUUCAGGUCUUCAGUACCCCAUCAGCUCAUUUUGUGAUGUGAAAGCACCAAGCAAUGAAGUCCAGGGACAUGGGCUGGUUCCCAGCCUGGCUGCUCAGGGCAGCUGAUCAUGAGCACAUGGUGGCUGCUUCUGUGGGUGUCCCUGCCUUGGCUCCCCGGGAGAGUUGGGGAGGAGAGGCUGAGGCCAGAGCAGUGAUGGGGAGACGCUGUGAACACAUGUGUGCCAGGAUGAAGCAAACAGAGAAAGGCUUUACCCACCAAACCCAGAGAGCCCACCUGCAGAGAAGGUGCCUCUGA
RNAcentral lists this long non-coding RNA (1184 nucleotides) under Cavia porcellus (domestic guinea pig). Its description in RNAcentral is "lncRNA (ENSCPOG00000031455.1)". Lineage: Eukaryota; Metazoa; Chordata; Mammalia; Rodentia; Caviidae. The record is from RNAcentral.